AGAGUUUGAUCCUGGCUCAGAAUGAACGUUGGCGGCGUGGAUUAGGCAUGCAAGUCGCACGGGCCGCAAGGCCAGUGGCGGAAGGGUGAGUAAGGCGACGGUAACCAACCCCGAGAUUGGGCAUAGCCGCGGGAAACUGCGGGUAAUUCCCAGCGACGUCCGCGUCGGGCAUCCGAUGCGGACCAAAGUCCUGGCGUCUC
RNAcentral lists this ribosomal RNA (200 nucleotides) under uncultured bacterium. RNAcentral describes it as "partial 16S ribosomal RNA". It matches the Rfam family "Bacterial small subunit ribosomal RNA", at positions 8 to 221 of the family's 1533-position model. The record is from RNAcentral.